ACUUUAUGGAUUUUCGUGGUUAAUUAAUUGUUUCUUCGAAAGCCUAACCUUAUCAUUUAAUGUUCUUUUCUCUAUUUUAAUGUUGAUGGGAAUCUAGUGACCAUUUAAUUAGUUACUUACAUUACCGACAAUUAAGAUUGUUACUGUUAAUUGACAACAAACACCAAGACCGUUUGUGUGUCUAUAGACAAUAACACCUCCUAUUCAAUCAUUUUGUUGUUUUUCUUGUGACAAUUAACCUUUAAUUGUAUUAAUUUCUGGCAUCAUCAUCAUCGUCAUCAAGUGUAUAUAUUUUAAUAAUUAGCAAAAUGAAACAAUUUAAUUGGAUUAAAGUUAGUGACGAUAAAAUAAUCAAGUGAAUCAACAAAUUGAAAGAUUACCUGUGACCUUAACAAUCAAAUUAUCUCUCUCAUUCUAUUCUAAUGGAUCAAUUGGAUUCUCUUUUCAGAUUUGGUAACAGUUUCUCCCGGAGAAAUAAUCAAAGGAUAUUAAUUGUCAUUGGAAUUAAAUUUAAUUAAGGAACAUAUAAUGAUGGUGAUCGUAUAAUUGGAUUGAAUAUGAUAUCAGCUCAAUUUCCUGAUUGUUAUAUUUCAUCUUCUCCUGAUCAUGAUCAAGUUAUUUUCGAUUAACUUGAGAAGGUCAAUAACAAUAGAAUCGGAAUAUCAAUAUAUCAUCAGAAGAUUAUAAUUAUCAUGAUGAUGAUUAAUACUAAUCAAGUUUUCCUUUUCUCUCUCACUCUCGGUAUGAUUACUUGUCAUCAUUAUCAUCAUCAUCAUCUUGGUGUUUGUUUACUUGAAACUUUCAAAAGUAUCGUGAUCAUUUGAUUUGGAUAUUGUUGUCAAUUGAUUGUUGAACAUCAGGAUAAUUGAUUAUCGUAAAAAUUUCAAUUCCAAUCUGAUAUAAUCAAAAAUGGAGAAGCAAAAAGAAAAAUGAACAAUCUGAUCAACAAUCAACAUCAAUAUUCAACCAACAACAAUUAACUUGAUGACAUUUGAUUGCGUUACCUCCGUUGAAAGUAAUAAGUAACCGAAAGACAAUUAAAUUAACUGAUUUAUUAUACAUUCAAUUAUCAUGUAAUCAUCACCAAUCCAUAUAACAACAACAACAACAACAACAUAAAAUGAAUACCUGAUACAAUUAACAUACUCAACAAUCAAUAACCUUCAGCAACAAUCAAGGAAUCACAGGAAUCUUGUUUAAACAAAUUUACCUUGUUAAUCACUAAUUAUACGGAAAAAAGGACAUCAAACAAUCAAAUUUAAUUUCGUACAAUUUAAUUGAUCAGAUGAAACUAAUACAUUUACUAAAAGGGAACAAGAAGUUUCAAGAAUCAAUGAUGAAUUAAUCUGCAAAUUGUCAGGAAAUUAGUUCAAGGACAAUACGAAGAUGAUAUUCCUGAGAAAUUUAAUUCGAUUGUGAUUUUUUUCACUAAUCAAUUAGUUGAUUAACUUCUAUGUUUUCUAUCAGCGUUUUGUUUCUUCAAAUCAAACAACAAUUAACUCCUGGAAAGUUAAUCAACAUCGCAAUUAAUAUUCACUGACUGUUAAUCUAAAUGACUGAAAUUGCCUUCUAAUCUGAUGAUUACAAAAUUUUGCUCUUAAUUUAGUUUCGUGAUCAACAAUUGAUCAGAAACAACAAAAAGGUAAACAAUUAAAUCUGUUAAUUGUUAAUUUGAUUGUUUCUUGUUGUAUGUAACCUUUUUCAUUUACAAGUAACAAUAAUUGGGAACAAUUAGCAAAUUAAUCAUAAUCAUGAAUAUUAAAUCAUGAUCACAAUUAACAAGUUUUGAUCUUUGAAUUUA
Long non-coding RNA from Panonychus citri (citrus red mite), 1801 nucleotides. RefSeq lists it as uncharacterized. Lineage: Eukaryota; Metazoa; Arthropoda; Arachnida; Trombidiformes; Tetranychidae. The transcript is spliced from 3 exons. The record is from RefSeq and is a predicted model, not a curated record.